Molecule: ribosomal RNA, 301 nt
Filed under: uncultured bacterium
Lineage: Bacteria
Description: partial 16S ribosomal RNA
Rfam family: Bacterial small subunit ribosomal RNA
Source: RNAcentral
CAGCAGCCGCGGGAAUACGUAGGUGGCAAGCGUUGUCCGGAAUUAUUGGGCGUAAAGGGCUCGCAGGCGGUUUCUUAAGUCUGAUGUGAAAGCCCCCGGCUCAACCGGGGGGGGUCAUUGGAAACUGGGAAACUUGAGUGCAGAAGAGGAGAGUGGAAUUCCACGUGUAGCGGUGAAAUGCGUAGAGAUGUGGAGGAACACCAGUGGCGAAGGCGACUCUCUGGUCUGUAACUGACGCUGAGGAGCGAAAGCGUGGGGAGCGAACAGGAUUAGAUACCCCGGUAGUCCCUGUCUCUUAUAA